RNAcentral lists this microRNA precursor (92 nucleotides) under Dasypus novemcinctus (nine-banded armadillo). RNAcentral's name for it is "miRNA (ENSDNOG00000029925.1)". Lineage: Eukaryota; Metazoa; Chordata; Mammalia; Cingulata; Dasypodidae. The record is from RNAcentral.
AUAACCUGAGGAUCUUGUUGAAAUGUAGAUUCUGGUUUGGUAGAACUGGGAUGCACCCUGAGAUUCUGUAUUUUUAACAAGUUCUCAGAUGA